GGAAAGAGAAGCAAUCAACCAAGAGAUCAUCAUGUUGUUACACCUAUCCCACAACCUUUGUUGAACCACAUUGGUAGGUCGGGUGUAUGUGCCGUCAACAAAACUGAUUUGGUUUUUGGCUGUUAAGGCAAUCAGCAUUUUACGUCUCCAGCCCCCAUAGCCACUACCCGAGAAGGGAGUGGGAACAAGUGAUACCCCAGGGACAUCAAAAGAGUACACAAAAAGGGGACUAGAAGAGUCUACAGCAGUAGAGGCACCAACGUUUGUGCUAGAAGCCAUAGUUAAAGGAUCGGUUUAAAUGAACGACCUUGUAACAAACACAAUACUACCAAAACAAGUAUUCAAACACAAAGACCAAAAACAGUCUACAGUCAGAUCAAAUAUUCACAGACAACACCAACAACACGAGUUGCUCACAAGAACAGAGUCAAAUAAUCACAUAUAAUAUCGAAGAUAAGGACAGAGUUACCCUCAUUCUUCACGACCGGAGAAGAUCGGCCUUCAAACAACGGAGAAACGCUAGGUAUCAAACCGUAGGUGUAACCUUGAAAACACACUUUACCGGAAAUCUGGUUAGGAACGCCGGAAAAUCACCCAAAGCGUCCACAAAGUGAUAAUCGAGCCACCGGAAUACAGCAAAACCUCAGGUUAAACCGUCAGAAACACUAGAAGCCGAUAGGUCACCCAAAAUCAACCAACCAAAAUCAUCAGAAAAUCUGUCCAGAAUGUUCAGCAGAGUGAAACACACUUGGAUAUCACGAUGAGAACCUCAGAAGGGUCUCUGUUAGGUUGAAAUCUUCAUCAACCCUGAGGUCUCAGAAAUCAUCCCCAAAAACCUCGAAACAGACUUCAUCCAGGACCACGAAGCACACAGAAACAUGAUCGGAUCGUCGUCGAGGCUCUGAUACCAUGUAAACGUCGAGAUUAAACCG
This 932-nucleotide long non-coding RNA is filed under the name Nicotiana benthamiana. RNAcentral describes it as "long non-coding RNA (NBEN_LNC011049)". Lineage: Eukaryota; Viridiplantae; Streptophyta; Magnoliopsida; Solanales; Solanaceae. The record is from RNAcentral.